RNAcentral lists this ribosomal RNA (200 nucleotides) under uncultured bacterium. RNAcentral's name for it is "partial 16S ribosomal RNA". It matches the Rfam family "Bacterial small subunit ribosomal RNA", at positions 524 to 723 of the family's 1533-position model. The record is from RNAcentral.
UACGGAGGGUGCAAGCGUUACUCGGAAUCACUGGGCGUAAAGGAUGCGUAGGCGGAUAAUCAAGUCAAAAGUGAAAUCCUACAGCUCAACUGUAGAACUGCUUUCGAAACUGGUUAUCUAGAAUAUGGAAGAGGCAGAUGGAAUUAGUGGUGUAGGGGUAAAAUCCGUAGAGAUCACUAGGAAUACCGAUUGCGAAGGCG